This 465-nucleotide ribosomal RNA is filed under the name uncultured bacterium. RNAcentral's name for it is "partial 16S ribosomal RNA". It matches the Rfam family "Bacterial small subunit ribosomal RNA", at positions 29 to 507 of the family's 1533-position model. The record is from RNAcentral.
AUGAACGCUGGCGGCGUGCUUAACACAUGCAAGUCGAACGGAAAGGCUCCUGCUUGCAGGGGUACUCGAGUGGCGAACGGGUGAGUAACACGUGGGUGAUCUGCCCUGCACUUCGGGAUAAGCCUGGGAAACUGGGUCUAAUACCGGAUAGGACGAUGGUUUGGAUGCCAUUGUGGAAAGUUUUUUCGGUGUGGGAUGAGCUCGCGGCCUAUCAGCUUGUUGGUGGGGUAAUGGCCUACCAAGGCGUCGACGGGUAGCCGGCCUGAGAGGGUGUACGGCCACAUUGGGACUGAGAUACGGCCCAGACUCCUACGGGAGGCAGCAGUGGGGAAUAUUGCACUAUGGGCGCAAGCCUGAUGCAGCGACGCCGCGUGGGGGAUGACGGCCUUCGGGUUGUAAACUCCUUUCGCUAGGGACGAAGCGCAAGUGACGGUACCUGGAGAAGAAGCACCGGCUAACUACGUG